This 2494-nucleotide small RNA is filed under the name Rattus norvegicus (Norway rat). RNAcentral describes it as "uncharacterized LOC102546604". The record is from RNAcentral. Lineage: Eukaryota; Metazoa; Chordata; Mammalia; Rodentia; Muridae.
AAGGAAGGAAGGAAAAGCUGUCUUGAUAACUUGUUUUAGAAUGAAGGAGUAGAUAUCAGACACUGACUUGAGACACCAAGGCUGAUGAGCCCAGUGGAUCAAACGGAUGAACAGUUGCUAAACUUUGCUUGUAUCUUGCUUGGCAUCUAUCUCUUCCUGUCCUGCAGCAGCAGCACCCUGGUCCCUGUUAUUAUAAACUGCUCAGGCUAGUUUCCAGUUUUGUUUGGUUUUGGUUUUGGUUUUGGUUUUGCGGUUGCUUUGUCUUGUUUCGUUCGUGACUACUGUCACCCCAGCAAGUUCUGUUUUCUUGGUGAACCCUGAAACAGGCACCCAGGAAAAAAAAAUGUAAAGUCUGUUUGAAGGGACACCAGCUUUCAUCAUGAUCUCUGGAAGAGCUGGAAGGCUCUCCAAGUGGACUGAAGAUCACCCCGGAGGCUAGCGAUGGAGCUCAGGCUUUCCACUCAACAACUCCGUACAUGCCACGGUUCCUGGAGUGGUGCAAAGAGGAAAGAAAUGCAGAAACCAGCAGAAGGAAACAGGAAGUGAUGGGCUGAGCUCCCAGCCACCGUGUGAGAAAGGACAAGGCUCAAAAGCAACAGGGCCAAGCAUCCAUGGAGCCAAAAUAAAGUUAAUUCUCAAAAGCUGACUUCCUACAGUAGUCCGUCAGAAGGACCGGAAGUUGCUAACACAACCUCCACUGAGAGUCGUUGUGUGCUGUUUCUGUUCCCACCCAUCACUGGUUUUACCCAGUCCCACUCAACUCACAAAGUUCCAGUGAGAUGAGACUUACCAACACGUGAUAAAGGGAAGAAUGGGAGGAGUUUUCCUAGGACGUGUGAGAAAGAACGCACCCAAGGGUUGGGAAGACCAUGACUCAAAAUAUAAGGUCACCAGGUUAUCACCUGCAGUCACAUAUUUCUCUAAGUAAGUAAGCAAGCCACAUAUUUCUCUGCGUAAGUGAGCAGGGAGUCUCCUGGGUAGUAGGAUCAAAUUUUUCCCUACUUCCUCCUACUGCUUAUGAUUCUUUCCUUUCCAAGGCCCAGCAAGACCAGGUCCAGCCACCAAGAAAUAUCUCAUCAUUUCAUGCAAGUCAAUAUAGCUACUGCAGAAAACAUGAGUUAGGGGAUGACUUGUUUCCUCUUCUUGGCUACCUUGACAACAGAGGUUCUCAAUCUGUGGGACAUGAUUGAGACCCUUGGCGGGUUGAGCAACCCUUUUACGGGGGUCACAUGACAGAUACUCUGCAUAUAGACAUUUAUGUUACAAUCAACAAUGGUAGCAAAAUUACAGUAAUGAAGUAGUAACGAAGUAAUGUUAUGGUUGGGGGUCAGCACGACAUGGGGAAGUGUCUUAAAGACUUGUGGAACCACUGUCCCACAGAAUUCUGUGUGUUGUUCUAAACUCAAGAUCUGCAGCAAUGCAAUGGCAAGCAGGUGACCAGAAGAAAAGGACAAAGACUUAAAAUAUUAAAAUGAGCAAACGUAAGGCUAGGGAGAGAAGGGGAUCUGAACUUUAACCUCCAACACCUAUGUUUUCAAAAAGCCAUGCUCACAUAGACACCUCUAACUCAGCACUUGUGGGGGUUGGGUGGGUAGAGGCAGCAGGAUUGCUGAGGAUUCCUGGCUGCCAAUCUAUUUCCAGAUCCAGGGAGAGAUCCGGUCUCAUGGGAAUUGACUGGGCUACAAGGCAGGACAGCGUACAUCCUUUUCUGGUCUGAGCACAUCAGCAUACACAUACCCUAACACACAUGUGUACGUAUCCUUCACACCCACUCACACGAGGUGUCACACAAGGAAAUCAGGAAACAAAAGGCAUAUGAAUUGUUUUUCAAAGAAAACACAAUAGAACAGUACAUGCUUAAAGGCCAUUUCCCCCGUUGGAAGCACAGUUCGACUGGCUGCUUUUACACAGAGCCUUCUGUCCACUUUGCCCUCUAAACCUGGCUUCCUUGGAGGUGUCUGCGGUCACAAAUGAAGUCUUUCUCCCCAGGACAUAAACUACCUCCAAAUAACCAAGUAGUGAGUAACGACUCACAGCUAACUCCUGAACAAAUGUCCACUCUACCUGGCUUUUUCAAAGCCAUGGAUACGUGCCAACUCAACCCUGGUAGCGUAACGUCCCAAUGCAAUAAGAUAAGAAAACUAGAACAGAAUCUCCUAUAAACAGGAAAGUUCUGAAAAGGUUUAAAGUUCAUAGGAAAAGACUGAUACCAUUUGAGUCACUUCAUACAGAAUAGCAACAUCAGGAAGGAAUUUUGAUAUAACACUGGAAUAUCAGUUUAUAAUGAUGACUCAAAAUGUCUUUCCUUUAAAAUUCUAGAGCCUCUUUUUUGAAGAUGGCAGUGAACUGUUUUGAGUGGUGUAUCUUACUCCUUAAUUGUUUCUUAGUUAAAUAUUUUUAACUCUAUUCACUAUUCCUCCCCUCUCCACCUAAAAUACAGUUUAUCAAAUCAAUUAAAAGCCUUUGGGCUCUGUUUAUUUGUUUCCUUGUUUGC